RNAcentral lists this ribosomal RNA (250 nucleotides) under uncultured bacterium. RNAcentral describes it as "partial 16S ribosomal RNA". It matches the Rfam family "Bacterial small subunit ribosomal RNA", at positions 524 to 773 of the family's 1533-position model. The record is from RNAcentral.
UACGAAGGGGGCUAGCGUUGUUCGGAAUUACUGGGCGUAAAGGGCGCGUAGGCGGCCGUGCAAGUCAGAUGUGAAAGCCCUGGGCUCAACCCAGGAGGUGCAUUUGAUACUGCAUGGCUAGAGUGUCGGAGAGGAUGGUGGAAUUCCCAGUGUAGAGGUGAAAUUCGUAGAUAUUGGGAAGAACACCGGUGGCGAAGGCGACCAUCUGGACGACAACUGACGCUGAGGCGCGAAAGCGUGGGGAGCAAAC